Dama dama (fallow deer) is the source of this 103-nucleotide small nuclear RNA. The record is from RefSeq and is a predicted model, not a curated record. NCBI's taxonomy places the organism in Eukaryota, Metazoa, Chordata, Mammalia, Artiodactyla, Cervidae.
GUGCUUCAGCAGCACAUAGACUAAAAUCGGAGCGAUACAAAGAAGAUUAGCAUGGCCCCUGCACAAGGAUGACAUGCAAAUUCGUGAAGCAUUCCAGUUUUUU